Long non-coding RNA from Macadamia integrifolia, 593 nucleotides. RefSeq lists it as uncharacterized. The transcript is spliced from 3 exons. The record is from RefSeq and is a predicted model, not a curated record. NCBI's taxonomy places the organism in Eukaryota, Viridiplantae, Streptophyta, Magnoliopsida, Proteales, Proteaceae.
UCAAAAACAAACUAGACUCAGCCUAGUAAUCAGAUCUGAAGUUUUUAGAGAAUAACUCUUUGCAAUUCUCCUAUGGCAAUGAAGAAGGUGGUUUUCUUCGUUCUACUCAUGGUUUUUGCAAUUGAGUUCAUAGAAUGUUGUGAGAAUGAUCCAGUAUGUAAAGUCGGAGAUGUUGGAGAUCCAGAAUGUUGCUAUAAAUAUGUGCCAUCAUUGAAAAAGUGUGAAAUAGUGUGUGCUUCAAAGUCUAUUGGACUUCCAUCUUAUGUGACCGAGAAGGAUUGUUAGGCACAAUAUAAACCUAAUCCUGACUGUACGCUUAAAUGUUCAUAUGGACAGUGUGAAGAGAUAUGUGGUGGCAAUUAGAAAAAGUCGACAACCGAUGUACAGAGGAUUGAUUUGGGAACUGGUGAUGAGGCAGGAUUGGAUUUCAACGGUGGCUGUUAGGCUUGUGUCUGCGAGGCAUAUGAAUGCUGAUGGAUGUCACUUCACUUUUGCUUUUGAUGUAAAUAUUUAUGAGUUUUAUAAGAUGUAAUUAUUAUACAUAGGGGUUGUUAUUAAAUGGAUCUUGCAUACUUAUAAUUUAUAAUUUUAGU